UCGUGGUGGUAGUAGUAACAAUCUGUUAUCAUCUUGGAGCUAGAUCCCAAGUAGAUCCAAUUGUUAUGUGGUUUUAUCUUCGAUCUUGAUCCUAAUGUGAUGCGGUUUUCUCUUUCAAUUUAGAUCCAGUUGCUACUAUUUCUUUUUACUAGUAAGAUAGGUUUAAUUAAGUAACAUUAUUAUUGGUAACACUUUAAUCUGGUCAGUUCAAAAAUGUAGUAACGGACUUUCCCCCUUCAUCCGGUCAGUUCAAAAACAGAGCAAUAGACA
This 270-nucleotide long non-coding RNA is filed under the name Setaria viridis. Its description in RNAcentral is "long non-coding RNA (SVIR_LNC006883)". The record is from RNAcentral. Lineage: Eukaryota; Viridiplantae; Streptophyta; Magnoliopsida; Poales; Poaceae.